This 468-nucleotide ribosomal RNA is filed under the name uncultured bacterium. RNAcentral's name for it is "partial 16S ribosomal RNA". It matches the Rfam family "Bacterial small subunit ribosomal RNA", at positions 28 to 507 of the family's 1533-position model. The record is from RNAcentral.
GAUGAACGCUGGCGGCGCGCCUAACACAUGCAAGUCGAACGGAGCUGAGAGAAGCUUGCUUUUCUUAGCUUAGUGGCGAACGGGUGAGUAACGCGUGAGUAACCUGCCCUGGAGUGGGGGACAACAGUUGGAAACGACUGCUAAUACCGCAUAAGCCCACGAUCCGGCAUCGGAUUGAGGGAAAAGGAUUUAUUCGCUUCAGGAUGGACUCGCGUCCAAUUAGCAAGUUGGUGAGGUAACGGCCCACCAAGGCGACGAUUGGUAGCCGGACUGAGAGGUUGAACGGCCACAUUGGGACUGAGACACGGCCCAGACUCCUACGGGAGGCAGCAGUGGGGGAUAUUGCACAAUGGGGGAAACCCUGAUGCAGCGACGCCGCGUGGAGGAAGAAGGUUUUCGGAUUGUAAACUCCUGUCGUUAGGGACGAUAAUGACGGUACCUAACAAGAAAGCACCGGCUAACUACGUG